This 72-nucleotide transfer RNA is filed under the name Bos taurus (domestic cattle). It matches the Rfam family "tRNA". Rfam says of the family: Transfer RNA (tRNA) molecules are approximately 80 nucleotides in length. Their secondary structure includes four short double-helical elements and three loops (D, anti-codon, and T loops). Further hydrogen bonds mediate the characteristic L-shaped molecular structure. tRNAs have two regions of fundamental functional importance: the anti-codon, which is responsible for specific mRNA codon recognition, and the 3' end, to which the tRNAs corresponding amino acid is attached (by aminoacyl-tRNA synthetases). tRNAs cope with the degeneracy of the genetic code in two manners: having more than one tRNA (with a specific anti-codon) for a particular amino acid; and 'wobble' base-pairing, i.e. permitting non-standard base-pairing at the 3rd anti-codon position. RNAcentral also lists the same sequence under 1 other name. The record is from Rfam by way of RNAcentral. Lineage: Eukaryota; Metazoa; Chordata; Mammalia; Artiodactyla; Bovidae.
UCCCAGGUGGCUCAGGGGUAAAGAAGCCACCUGCCAACGCAGGAGACACAGGUUCAAUUCCUGAUCUGGGAA